Podarcis lilfordi (Lilford's wall lizard) is the source of this 80-nucleotide non-coding RNA. Lineage: Eukaryota; Metazoa; Chordata; Lepidosauria; Squamata; Lacertidae. The record is from the annotation of a GenBank genome assembly.
UUGGGAAGAGCCAUAGCUGAGUGGUAAAGCAUCUACUUUGCAUGCAGAAGGUCCCAGGUUCAAUCCCCAAGAUUCCCAAU